CUGCCCUCUGCUCCGAAGAAUGAGCAAGUUGAUCCUAAGGAUGCAGGAGGCACAAUUUUCUGCGGGAGGAAGGAUGACGGUGCCUUCCAGCGCGCCGACACCCGUGCCCCGCUCCCAGGCAAUGGCUCAGGCUGGGAACAAGACCCAAUGGAAGGCGUUUGGUCCGGAGCACAGAAUCCUCACAGGCCCGCAGGCUCGGAAAACAAGGUGUCUGGCCCCGCCCUCUGGGUUAAUUGCCCUGGGCGGGGCUUGGGCGGGGCCUGAGCCGCCCUGGUAGUAAAAGCAGGUCCUCGGCCAUCUCAGCCUAGGCUGGAGGAGCAGGGUGGAGGCCAGGCUCCUCGGACCCUGCGGGCGCUGGUUGGUCAGCAGGGCUCGUACCCAGCCGAGCUCCCUGGGGAGUUGGCCUGCUCUCCGACCUCUCCUGAGUGGCCAGGAUCUAGAUCUGCUGAAAGAUGUAAUUUGAUAGGGGAGUAGGGGCUCCAUGUUGGCUUUUGUUUCCAGCAGCUACUUCUGGAGGGCCCCGCAUCUCAAAGGUAUGGGACUUACUCAGGCAUGAGUGAGAUUUCCAUUCUGGUUUUGCUGGUGUGAUGUUCCUGCGUGUGUGUGCGUUUUCUCUGAUGGCCAGAGUUUCCCGGUUGAGGGGGUACAGCAGGGUGGGACACCCCCCACCCCCACCCCGUGUAUCUGGUUCCCUGUCAAGAUGUAGUCCCAUGGUAAUAUAUCAAAACCCCACUUCCCACCUGACACACGUGGGAAGCCCCUCUGUUCAGGCAUGCCCAAUCAAGCUGUUUUCCUUUCCUGGGUUUGUGUGUAGGUCUCAGAUGCCUCUGCUCCCAUAUUCGCCUCCGUUCCUGCAUUCAGUGACUCGGCUUUGCUGGGACCAUGGGAUACCCUGGACCUGGAGGAUGCCAGUUGUAUUUUCAGAGAAUGAAAGAGAAGCUGAAUCCUACAAUCAUGAGGGGGCAUUUCCGUCCAGACCCGGAACGUGGCGUGCUGUGGCCCUGGGCGCAGAGGAGGAGGUGACCUGUUCAGCUCUUCCUGCUGCUCUCCUGGAAUUCAGACUUGGAAUCACUGCCAAGAACUGGUCAUUGUUGUGUUCUGAAGACGUAGGAGGGAGAAGCUCUCAACAGUUUUCUUUGUUCUGA
This 1145-nucleotide long non-coding RNA is filed under the name Sus scrofa (pig). RNAcentral's name for it is "lncRNA (ENSSSCG00015013567.1)". The record is from RNAcentral. Lineage: Eukaryota; Metazoa; Chordata; Mammalia; Artiodactyla; Suidae.